GAGUAUGGAGGAAAAAGAGGGAGAAUGGAAGUGAGAAUUAUGAGAGUGGAGAUGAGAGGGAAGAUGAGAGAAGAGGAUGGAAGGGAGUAACAAAAGUGAAAAUAAAAACUAAAAACUGAAAUAUAUUUCAAAUUGUUUUCACUUUCAAGAUUUUGUUUUCACUUUUGUUACUCUUCCCUCUCAUCCUCUCUCUCAAUCUCAUCCUCACUCUCAUUUUUCUUUAUACUCU
This 229-nucleotide small nucleolar RNA is filed under the name Prunus dulcis (almond). RNAcentral describes it as "sRNA ncRNA". Lineage: Eukaryota; Viridiplantae; Streptophyta; Magnoliopsida; Rosales; Rosaceae. The record is from RNAcentral.